Molecule: ribosomal RNA, 496 nt
Filed under: uncultured bacterium
Lineage: Bacteria
Description: partial 16S ribosomal RNA
Rfam family: Bacterial small subunit ribosomal RNA
Source: RNAcentral
GAUGAACGCUGGCGGCGUGCCUAAUACAUGCAAGUCGAGCGAACAGACGAGGAGCUUGCUCCUCUGACGUUAGCGGCGGACGGGUGAGUAACACGUGGAUAACCUACCUAUAAGACUGGGAUAACUUCGGGAAACCGGAGCUAAUACCGGAUAAUAUAUUGAACCGCAUGGUUCAAUAGUGAAAAACGGUUUUGCUGUCACUUAUAGAUGGAUCCGCGCCGCAUUAGCUAGUUGGUAAGGUAACGGCUACCAAGGCAACGAUGCGUAGCCGACCUGAGAGGGUGAUCGGCCACACUGGAACUGAGACACGGUCCAGACUCCUACGGGAGGCAGCAGUAGGGAAUCUUCCGCAAUGGGCGAAAGCCUGACGGAGCAACGCCGCGUGAAUGAUGAAGGUCUUCGGAUCGUAAAACUCUGUUAUUAGGGAAGAACAAAUGUGUAAGUAACUAUGCACGUCUUGACGGUACCUAAUCAGAAAGCCACGGCUAACUACGUG